GACGAGGGGGGCUAGUGUUAUUCAGCAUGACUGGGCGUAAAGGGCAUGUAGGCGGCAAUUUAAGUUUCUUGUCAAAGCCCAAAGCAUAACUUUGGUUAGGCAAUUUAGACUAAAAGGCUUAGAGUUGUAUUAAGGAUUGUAGAAUUUCUGGAGGAGCGAUAAAAUGUUAAUCCCAGAAGGAAUACCAACGGCGAAGGCAACAAUCUAGAUACAUACUGACGUUGAUAUGCGAAAGCAUGGGGAGCAAACAGG
RNAcentral lists this ribosomal RNA (252 nucleotides) under uncultured bacterium. RNAcentral describes it as "partial 16S ribosomal RNA". It matches the Rfam family "Bacterial small subunit ribosomal RNA", at positions 524 to 776 of the family's 1533-position model. The record is from RNAcentral.